Molecule: non-coding RNA, 636 nt
Filed under: Ancylostoma duodenale
Lineage: Eukaryota; Metazoa; Nematoda; Chromadorea; Rhabditida; Ancylostomatidae
Description: Eukaryotic large subunit ribosomal RNA
Rfam family: Eukaryotic large subunit ribosomal RNA
Source: Rfam by way of RNAcentral
CUGUGGGCUGCUGUAUCGAGGUCUUCGGGUCGCGAUAUGGUGAAAAACAGUUCAGUCGCAUGACGAGACCUGUCAGGGAACCUUGAUGAUCUGCUAAUGGGUGCCAAAUAGAUCCAGAGACUGACUUGGGUAUAGGGCGAAAGACAAAUCGAACCAUCUAGUAGCUGGUUCCCUCCGAGGUUUCCUAGCUGGAGUUCUUCGCAGUUGUAUCCGGUAAGGCGAACGAUUAGAGGAUUUGGGGUCGAAACGACCUCAACCUCUUCUCAAACUUUCAAUGUGUAUGUUGUCUCGUUCUCUUCAUUGAACAGUUGACACGCAGGCGAGCUCCAUGUGGGUCAUUUCUGGUAAGCAGAAUUGGCGCUGCGACAUAAACCAAACUUUGGGUUAAGGUGCCUAACUUCUCGUUCGCAAAAGGCAAUGGUUGAUAUAGACAGCAGAACGAUGGCCAUGGAAGUUGGUGCCCGCUAAGGAGUGUGUAACAACUCUCCUGCCGAAUCAAGUAGCCCGGAAAAUGGAUGGUGCUUGAAUGAGAGACCUAUACCCAGCCGUUGCUGGCAUUCCUUAUAUGCAUACAUUACUAUAUUACUAUGUUAUCUUACUAUACUAUUACAACAUUCCUUAUAUACAUAGAAAUUA